UGGGGAAUAUUGCACAAUGGGCGCAAGCCUGAUGCAGCCAUGCCGCGUGUGUGAAGAAGGCCUUCGGGUUGUAAAGCACUUUUGUCCGGAAAGAAAUCCUUGGCUCUAAUACAGUCGGGGGAUGACGGUACCGGAAGAAUAAGCACCGGCUAACUACGUGCCAGCAGCCGCGGUAAUACGUAGGGUGCAAGCGUUAAUCGGAAUUACUGGGCGUAAAGCGUGCGCAGGCGGUUUGCUAAGACCGAUGUGAAAUCCCCGGGCUCAACCUGGGAACUGCAUUGGUGACUGGCAGGCUAGAGUAUGGCAGAGGGGGGUAGAAUUCCACGUGUAGCAGUGAAAUGCGUAGAGAUGUGGAGGAAUACCGAUGGCGAAGGCAGCCCCCUGGGCCAAUACUGACGCUCAUGCACGAAAGCGUGGGGAGCAAAACAGGAUUAGAUACCCUGGUAGUCCACGCCCUAAACGAUGUCAACUAGUUGUUGGGGAUUCAUUUCCUUAGUAACGUAGCUAACGCGUGAAGUUUGACCGCCUGGGGAGUACGGUCGCAAGAUUAAAGCUCAAAAUGAAUUGACGGGGUCAUAGCUG
This 582-nucleotide ribosomal RNA is filed under the name uncultured bacterium. RNAcentral's name for it is "partial 16S ribosomal RNA". It matches the Rfam family "Bacterial small subunit ribosomal RNA", at positions 355 to 932 of the family's 1533-position model. The record is from RNAcentral.